RNAcentral lists this ribosomal RNA (497 nucleotides) under uncultured bacterium. RNAcentral describes it as "partial 16S ribosomal RNA". It matches the Rfam family "Bacterial small subunit ribosomal RNA", at positions 28 to 507 of the family's 1533-position model. The record is from RNAcentral.
GAUGAACGCUGGCGGCGUGCCUAAUACAUGCAAGUAGAACGCUGAAGCUUGGUGCUUGCACCGAGCGGAUGAGUUGCGAACGGGUGAGUAACGCGUAGGUAACCUGCCUCUUAGCGGGGGAUAACUAUUGGAAACGAUAGCUAAUACCGCAUAAAAGUCGAUAUCGCAUGAUAUUGAUUUGAAAGGUGCAAAUGCAUCACUAAGAGAUGGACCUGCGUUGUAUUAGCUAGUUGGUGAGGUAACGGCUCACCAAGGCGACGAUACAUAGCCGACCUGAGAGGGUGAUCGGCCACACUGGGACUGAGACACGGCCCAGACUCCUACGGGAGGCAGCAGUAGGGAAUCUUCGGCAAUGGGGGCAGCCCUGACCGAGCAACGCCGCGUGAGUGAAGAAGGUUUUCGGAUCGUAAAGCUCUGUUGUAAGAGAAGAACGAGUGUGAGAGUGGAAAGUUCACACUGUGACGGUAACUUACCAGAAAGGGACGGCUAACUACGUG